RNAcentral lists this ribosomal RNA (529 nucleotides) under bacterium het-w-17. RNAcentral describes it as "bacterial SSU rRNA". It matches the Rfam family "Bacterial small subunit ribosomal RNA", at positions 52 to 557 of the family's 1533-position model. The record is from RNAcentral.
CACAUGCAGUCGACGGUCUUUUCUAUGGAGCUUGCUUCCACUGAGAAGAUAGUGGCGAACGGGUGAGUAACACGUGGGUAACCUGCCCAUAAGAGGGGGAUAACAUCCGGAAACGGGUGCUAAUACCGCAUAGUUUUCUUGAUCGCAUGAUUGAGAAAGGAAAGACGGCCUUUGUGCUGUCGCUUAUGGAUGGACCCGCGGCGUAUUAGUUAGUUGGUGAGGUAACGGCUCACCAAGACGAUGAUACGUAGCCGACCUGAGAGGGUGAUCGGCCACAUUGGGACUGAGACACGGCCCAAACUCCUACGGGAGGCAGCAGUAGGGAAUCUUCCGCAAUGGACGAAAGUCUGACGGAGCAACGCCGCGUGAGUGAAGAAGGUUUUCGGAUCGUAAAACUCUGUUGUCAGAGAAGAACAAGUCGGAGAGUAACUGCUCCGGCCUUGACGGUAUCUGACCAGAAAGCCACGGCUAACUACGUGCCAGCAGCCGCGGUAAUACGUAGGUGGCAAGCGUUGUCCGGAUUUAUUGG